RNAcentral lists this ribosomal RNA (253 nucleotides) under uncultured bacterium. RNAcentral describes it as "partial 16S ribosomal RNA". It matches the Rfam family "Bacterial small subunit ribosomal RNA", at positions 524 to 776 of the family's 1533-position model. The record is from RNAcentral.
GACAGAGGGUGCAAACGUUGCUCGGAAUCACUGGGCGUAAAGGGCGUGUAGGCGGGAAGGAAAGUCAGAUGUGAAAUCCCUGGGCUCAACCCAGGAACUGCAUUUGAAACUCCCUUUCUUGAGUGUCGGAGAGGAAAGCGGAAUUCCUGGUGUAGAGGUGAAAUUCGUAGAUAUCAGGAGGAACACCGAUGGCGAAGGCGGCUUUCUGGGACGGUACUGACGCUGAGACGCGAAAGCGUGGGGAGCGAACAGG